UUUUUCUCUUGUUAUGUUUUAGGUGUGAAGUGAACCCAGUCAGCAACGCAUCGAUUGGAGAGGAGCUUGGUAGACUAUACUGAUUCACUCCUGUCAUGGACCACAGCUUUCUAGUAUGGAACUUGACAGGUAUGGAACAAAUUUUUGGAGGAGAUACAUAAGACGAGUUCUGCAAUGUAUUGUAGAAGCCUUUGAUGUUGGUAUCCUGAUUAUAUGAUUGAUCUCCUGAGUUGUUACCUUAUCUCAAGGACGGACCACAUCCUUCAACACAGUGGGCAGAGUGAGAGAGAACAAGAGAGGAGCUGUAGAUUGUCACCAGAAAAUUUGAGCGAGAAAAGUGAGUUCUCAACACCCGAGAUCAUCACUGAUGUGUUGCCGAGCGAAGCGAGUUGUCACCAUCUGAGACCAUCACUCUUUCGCCGAGCGAAGUGAGUUCUCAACACCUGAGAUUAUCACUGUGUGUCGCCGAGCGAAGCGAGCUCUCACCCCCUGUUGCAGUCUUCAUUCAUCUGGAUUGCGCGGACGCAGAAGAGAGGGACAGACACACCAGAGGAGAAUGAUGGCCAGCUCCACAGAAGAAUAGUGAGAUGGAGGAUAUCGAGAAGAAGCAGAUUACAAAAUAUUGGAACAAAGUGACAAGUGCAAAAUGAUGAGACUCUAAUUUAGUGCAAUGAUUGAUUUAAAGUGAAAAAGUCAAGUGUGAGAAUGGAAGGACUCUAAUCUGGUUUCACUCACACCAAGGACAUUGAAAUGUUUUGUUGUUGUGUUAUGUUUUUCAGCUUUUGCAUGUUGUCAUGUUUUUUUAGCUUUUUCUUGUUCUGAAAUAAAUGAGCAUGGGGUGUGUUCUAUUUUGGGGUGGGGGGGCUUUUCAGGCAUCGAUGCAGGCAGGCAGAAUGAGGAGGAGGGGAGAGGACAUCGCAGAACUUCAAAAAAGGUAAAAGUCAGCUCUCAGCCGAUUUUAGCAGUUCAAUCAAAUUCUCUCUUCUCAUACUAUUCACAUACUUUUCAAUUUAUUUCAGUUUUCAUCAUUUCAGUCAUUUGUCUUUACAGUAUUUUAAAUUUUCAUACAAGUUUAUAAUUAUUUACAAGUGGCAUCUUUCGAUGUAACUUGUGAAUUCUUUUGAAUCAAUUUUUCUUUUAAAUAUUCAAUUUGUAAAUACGUUCAAUUCUAAAGUCUGACUUUUGUAAUUAAAUUUGUAUUGUUGAACUGUUCAAUUCGGUUGUGGGCGACUUGUAUGAAAUUGGUGAUGCAUGCCUAGACCAUCAACCCCUUUUUAGUAGUAGUUUCUUUUCAGUUCUUCUUUCUAUUAGCUUUGUUUUUAAAAUUUCAAUUUUAUUUUCUCACUGUUUAGUUUCAGGUUUUAUUUAUUUGCUUUGGAGGCGAACCUUCAGUUCAAAUUCAAUAUCGAAGUAUAUGUCGAUACAUGGUUAUUUUUUGUUUUUUGAGCUUUUAAAAUGUCCCUUCCAUUUUUUAGUUUCAGGUUUUAUUUAUUUGCUUUGGAGGCGAACCUUCAGUUCAAAUUCAAUAUCGAAGUAUAUGUCGAUACAUGGUUAUUUUUUGUUUUUUGAGCUUUUAAAAUGUCCCUUCCAUUUUUUAGUUUCAGGUUUUAUUUAUUUGCUUUGGAGGCGAACCUUCAGUUCAAAUUCAAUAUCGAAGUAUAUGUCGAUACAUGGUUAUUUUUUGUUUUCUUGAGCUUUUAGGAAAUGUCCCUUCCAUUUUUUAUUUUCAGUUUUUUUUAGUUCUUUCUGUUCUAGGAUUGACCCUUUUCAUAAUUCUUUGCUAGAUUAGUUAAUGGACCCUCAGUCCAUUAAAUACUCAGAAUUAGUACUUUCUCUUAAUUACAAUUCCCUUUCUUCUAAUAUAAUGUUAGUUUCAUUGAAUUGUUAAAUAUUUUGUUGGGUGUUGCCACACUGUUUGCAUUUUUUCAGGUGGAAAUUGUCUUCAUCUUCUUUCUCCUGUAUUUUUCUUUCUUGUGUUGUUGUUGCAUCUUUCAAAAUAUUGUUAGCUAACUUCUAAAAACUGCCAUAUCUUCUGUAUAUUUUUGUAGAGUGUAUUUUCAAUUGUAAAAUGUGCAUGUAAUAAUCCUCCUUCCUUUACCUCAUAUUCAUUUUCUGCUUUGCCUUUCCCUCAUCCUCUCCAGUGUAAAUACCUUACCUACUUAGUUCUUCUGACUCCAACUCUCAUGUAGUAUUUCACCUCAACUCAUCCUUCCUCCACUACACUCACUCACCACUUCCUCUAAAUACAAAUCUACUUUCACUCCUUCUCAUUCCUUAAUUUUUUUCUAACUGGCAUUCUCGUUCCAUUGCAUUCUUACUUCCUUUUCCUUACUCCCACGAUCAUUCCCAUUUCUGCAUCCUUAUCCUGAUAUUUUUCAUCUUCUUCCACAAUCCUCCGCUAUCAUUCCUUACUUUGUAUCCUUAUCAUGGUAUUUUUUGUCUCCUUCCACAAUUCACUACUAUCAUUCCUACCCCUCCCUUCAUCCAUAUCCUGGUAUUUUUUGUCUCCUUCCACAAUUCCUUGCUAUCAUUCCUACCCCUCCCUUAAUCCAUAUCCUGGUAUUCCUUCCACAAUUCCUUGCUAUCAUUCCUAUUCCUGUAUCCCUGGUAAUUUUUGUCUCUAUCCACAAUUCACUACUAUCAUUCCUAACCCACAAUUCACUACUAUCAUUCCUAACCCACAAUCCAUAUCCUGGUAUUUUUUGUGUCUCCAUCCACAAUAACCAGUCUGCUAUUCCCCAACUAUAUCCUAUUACUUCAGCUUGCUCAUCCUCCACUAUCAUGAUAGCUCAUCUUAUUGUCACCCACCCCCCACAACGUUUCAUACUGCAAUAUCUUCCAAUCCUCUUUAGCUAUCAUCACUUUAGCAAUCCCUUUCUAUUCACAAUUGCCAUCACUACAAUCUAUUCCAUGCACAACCCCUCCACCCACCCAUCAUUCAUUUGACUGAUGUCUUACUUUAGUAAUCACUCCUCUCCUUAUCUUGAUAUUAAUUUUGUCCUUCAGUCCCCUAUUUUCUUCUUUGCACUUUUUUUGGCAAUAAUUAAGUGUAGGUAAUUAAUAUCAAUGAUAAUUAGUAUUCAAUAUUCUGACAGAUGCAACAACAAUUAAGUGUGGCAACACUCUUUUAGUGUAGACUGCUUGUGUGUCCCCCCCCCUCAUGAUGGUCUAGACAUGCACUUACCUCUUUCAUCAAUCUUCUCACUCCUUUUGGAGGGGCCACCCCCUCUUCGGUAGAAGUGGGAGUUACCCCUUCAGAAGGGGAACCACUCUUUUUUCCCCCCUUUGGGGAACUUUCCCUUCCCCUUCCGGGGGAGGAAAAGCCCCCAUUGGGGGAUUUGACCCUCUCCCUUCUGGGGAGGGAAAACUGUCACCUGGCUCUUUGUGGUCCAGUCAGGCUCAAUGCGCCCUUUGGCGUGGGUGGGACCACUCACUACAUAGGGGGGGGCCAGGAACACAUGGAGCCAGGUGCCAGUACUUGGACGGAAAGAUUAGUGCCCGUUUUUUUCUUGGGGACUUUUCGACAGUGAACGUUUCACUGUAAACCUGAAUCUAAAUGAAGAGGAGGAAAUAAAAAAAAAAAAAAAAAAAAAAAAAAAAAAAAAAAAAA
Nilaparvata lugens (brown planthopper) is the source of this 3610-nucleotide long non-coding RNA. RefSeq lists it as uncharacterized. The record is from RefSeq and is a predicted model, not a curated record. Lineage: Eukaryota; Metazoa; Arthropoda; Insecta; Hemiptera; Delphacidae. The transcript is spliced from 4 exons.